This 660-nucleotide ribosomal RNA is filed under the name Triticum aestivum (bread wheat). RNAcentral describes it as "partial small subunit ribosomal RNA". The record is from RNAcentral. Lineage: Eukaryota; Viridiplantae; Streptophyta; Magnoliopsida; Poales; Poaceae.
AUGCCUCUGACCCGCACCAACGCUGGAUCUUCUAGAUGGACCGUCCUUCUCCGCGGCCAUCACUGGAUCUGCUCGCUGUUCACCUCCGACCCGCGACGCCGCAAGAUUUGCUCGCCGCCAUCCACCUCGACCGCCGCCACCGUUGUCCGACUCGACCGACCGCCACCAUCAUCUGCCUCGACCGCCGUUGCCAUCGUCCACCUCGACCUCCACCGCCGUCAUCCGCCUCGACCAUCGCUACAGGAUGAUGAAGAUGAGGAUGACCAAGAUGACCAGGAUGAUGAAGAUGACCAAGAUGACCAGGAUGAUGAAGAUGAAGAUGAGGACAUCCAAGAUGAAGAUGAGGACAACCAAGAUGAAGAUGAGGACAUCAAAGAUGAAGAUGAUGGUCCUAUCCUUUCUGGAUUUUUUUCUCAAAGGAUCAAGAAGCUUACUCGGGACAAGACAGCUAAUGUGAAGGUAAUAUCACCAUCCUCUUUGGCCUUCUUGGGGAAGCCCUUUGUGCAACAUCUAACAAAAACCAACAUGAUCAAAAAAAUUAUGGUGAGAUGUUUUAUAUUCUUUCAUCUCUUUUUGGUCAUAACCAAGUAUGGUGAGAUCUCUAACAUUGCAUGCUUUCUAUUUUAUCUUAAUGAUGGGGAGUUCAUAAGUUACCUUUGA